GGCCGGAGCGUCGCGACGGGGGUUGGGAAGCGGGCAGAGAGGUGACGGAGCGCGCUCCGAUGAGAACUAUGCUGCGGGCUGAUUUUAUUUGGAAAAACCCAGCACCUCCAAGGGUGCAAUUGUUCAUUUGGCUUCUACUUCAAAGAAGAAUUCAGUGCCGGACAGUCUUGUUCAAAAAACACAUCGUCGACAACCCCUCCUGUGAGAUUUGUCACCUGAACACACCAUGUGGGGCUGCAAUCUUGGAAAGCAGGUUUGGAGUAGGCUUGGGAUUGUCUUCCCUCAAGACUCUGAUGUAUCGGCACUAUACUCCGUCUCUCCACCAACCGGUGUGCCUCUGGACCUGUUCCCAGCUUUCAUUGCGCUGGUUUGCUGGCAGAUUUGGAAAGUAAGAAAUGCAAAAACUUUCAACUCUGAGAUUCAAACACUGGAUCAAGUCCUUACCCUUUGCAUGCAUGCUGCCCUUCAGUGGAAACACAGGUUCCCACGCUUGAAGAAGCCAAUCGCCGACUCCUGGUGCUCCGUCUUCCUGAUGGCGAGGCAAGGACAGGGAUAGAUUACCUUACCUCUUUCUACCUUCUAAUGCUGUACUGAUCACGAUGUUGUGAUCAUCUAUCUCAAAAGUGUGCACAUGUAUUCUAAACUUCAGCCGGUUGGGGCUAUUUAAUAUAAUGCAGGUGGGGACCGAAU
This 690-nucleotide long non-coding RNA is filed under the name Sorghum bicolor (sorghum). Its description in RNAcentral is "long non-coding RNA (SBIC_LNC005953)". Lineage: Eukaryota; Viridiplantae; Streptophyta; Magnoliopsida; Poales; Poaceae. The record is from RNAcentral.